CUUACUGCGCGGCUAAGUCUAAAUAUUUGCGUGCAGUCAUACAUUUUACUCUGACUAGAUAAGCUACACACCCACAGCAUUAUUCAUACGGAGUGAGUACGACAGAAAGCACACGUCUUGAUAGAAAGAGGAAGACAGGAAGUUGUAUGAGGGAGUUUUUCUUACUAUGGGAGCACUUCACUUUGAAGGUGGAAAGUUCAAACUAAGUGAGAGUUCUAAAAAUGGACAUGAUGGUUGGAAAAAAGAAAUCACUGCUCUGUUAUGGAAAACUACAAGGAGAUGUUUGAAAACUGGAGGAAGGAUGCCACCUACUGGUCAAACGAAGGAACUGUCCAGAUGAUCAAAGACAGCAGAUUUCCAGUCUGGAGCUCCACCUCUGCCAGCAUGGUUCAUGUGGCCCGGAUGACCCUCAACUGGCUGACAGGACCAACGAAGAAAAAAAAAAAACUCCCCCACUAAAAAAGACAGAAUUC
Long non-coding RNA from Notolabrus celidotus (New Zealand spotty), 473 nucleotides. RefSeq lists it as uncharacterized. The transcript has 3 exons. The record is from RefSeq and is a predicted model, not a curated record. Lineage: Eukaryota; Metazoa; Chordata; Actinopteri; Labriformes; Labridae.